AGCAGCCGCGGUAAUUCCAGCUCCAAUAGCGUAUAUUAAAGUUGUUGCAGUUAAAAAGCUCGUAGUUGAAUUUCGGGAUUAGUACGCUGGUCAUGCCUUUGGUAUGUACUGGUGUUACUGGUUCCUACCUUCUGAAGAACCGUCAUGUCAUUAGUUUGGUGUGGCGGGGAAUCAGGACUGUUACUUUGAAAAAAUUAGAGUGUUUAAAGCAGGCUCGCGCUUGAAUACAUUAGCAUGGAAUAAUGAAAUAGGACGUUUGACCCUAUUUUGUUGGUCUCUAGGAUCGACGUAAUGAUUAAUAGGGAUAGUUGGGGGCAUUAGUAUUCAAUUGUCAGAGGUGAAAUUCUUGGAUUUAUUGAAGACUAACUACUGCGAAAGCAUUUGCCAAGGAUGUUUUCAUUAAUCAAGAACGAAAGUUAGGGGAUCGAAGACGAUCAGAUACCGUCGUAGUCUUAACCAUAAACUAUGCCGACUAGGGAUCGGGUGAUGGUUAUUUAAUGACUCAUUCGGCGCCUUACGG
RNAcentral lists this ribosomal RNA (520 nucleotides) under uncultured Glomeromycotina. Its description in RNAcentral is "SSU rRNA". It matches the Rfam family "Eukaryotic small subunit ribosomal RNA", at positions 569 to 1093 of the family's 1831-position model. The record is from RNAcentral. Lineage: Eukaryota; Fungi; Glomeromycota.